Molecule: ribosomal RNA, 253 nt
Filed under: uncultured bacterium
Lineage: Bacteria
Description: partial 16S ribosomal RNA
Rfam family: Bacterial small subunit ribosomal RNA
Source: RNAcentral
UACAGAGGUCUCAAGCGUUGUUCGGAUUCAUUGGGCGUAAAGGGCUCGUAGGCGGCCAACUAAGUCGGACGUGAAAUCCCUCGGCUUAACCGGGGAACUGCGUCCGAUACUGGAUGGCUUGAGUUCGGGAGAGGGAUGCGGAAUUCCAGGUGUAGCGGUGAAAUGCGUAGAUAUCUGGAGGAACACCGGUGGCGAAGGCGGCAUCCUGGACCGACACUGACGCUGAGGAGCGAAAGCCAGGGGAGCAAACGGG